AUGCCGUGUGGAAAACGCAUGCCGCGCUCCAGAAUUCCACAGAGUCGGCGUCGCUCGGUCGCUGUUGUCGACGUUUCGCUGCCGGUCGGCCCGGUCCUGCCACCGCCACCACAUACAAGUGGGCGUCGUGCAGACCAAACAACUCGCUCCACUCGAAUUCCAACCAUGGCAGGGCACGCCCAAGCUUCAACAACACCUCUGCUGUGCCUCCCCCUCUGCCUCCUAGUACUGCUAUCCUCUGCCCAACGGGCAACGGGCAUGUACCUCGACGCCGGCGGAAACCACGAGACCUUCUCCGGCGGCACCGUGCCUGAGAGCUUCAGCGUACGGAGCCGCAACUCCUCCAACAGCUCCGGCGCCGGCGCGGCCUUCUGCAGGCUCCUCUCCCUCCAGAUCCUCGACCUGUCCAACAACCAGCUCACGGGCGAGCUCCCCGACUGCUGGUGGAAUCUGCAGGCGCUGCAGUUCAUGGACCUCUCCAACAACUCCUUCUCGGGUCAAAUCCCCGCUGCCGAGGCAAGUCACAACUGCUCCCUCGAGUCGCUCCAUCUCGCCGGCAAUGACUUCACCGGCACCUUCCCGCGGGUCUUGGAUCAUUGCGAUUCGCUGACCACCCUCGACAUCGGGAAUAAUAAGUUCUUCGGCGCCAUCCCUCCAUGGAUAGGAACCCGUGUUCCAUCGUUGAGAAUCCUUAGCCUUAGAUCAAACAAUUUCACAGGAGAAAUCCCUUCGAAGUUGUCGCGGCUUUCUAAACUCCAGCUGCUCGACCUUGCCAACAACAGACUGACAGGACCAAUCCCUGUAGCAUUCGGCAACAUGGCCUCCAUGAGGCAUCCAGAAAUUGUGUCGAGUCAGGCAUCAGCGCUGGAUGGGUCGAAUUAUCAGGAUAGAAUCGAUAUAAUCUGGAAGGGCCAGGAGCUCAUCUUCCAAAGAACGAUCCGGUUAUUAACCGGCAUCGAUCUGUCAGGCAAUAUGUUGUCUCGGUGCAUCCCUGAAGAGUUAACUAGGCUGGAAGGCCUCCGAUUUCUAAACCUGUCAAGAAACCAUCUGUCAUGCGGCAUCCCUAAAGAUAUUGGUAGUUUGAGGAAUCUCGAGUCUCUUGAUCUAUCAUGUAAUGAGCUUUAUGGAAACAUUCCACAGAGCAUCUCGAUCUUGUCCGGGCUCAGCACAUUCAACAUCUCGAACAAUCAUUUGUCAGGCAAGAUACCUACUGGGAGCCAGAUGCAGACGUUGACCGACCCUUCGAUUUACCGGAACAAUUCCGGCCUUUGCGGAUUUCCUCUAGAGGAUUGUCCAAAUACUUCGCCUGCUUCGGAUGAGAAAACCGGUGAAGGGGAGGACCAGUGGCUGUACUACUGUGUGACUGCUGGGGUUGUUUUUGGGUUUUGGCUAUGGUUUGGACUGCUCUUUUCAGUUGAGACCUGGAGAUGUGCUCUUCUCUUCUCUGUCGAUGGCAUGCAAUCCAAGAUUAUGCAGAAGGUGUCGCAUAUUGACCAGUUUAUUUCAAAAAGUAGUAAUGAUCAAUAUAUGUAA
Molecule: ribosomal RNA, 1533 nt
Filed under: Triticum aestivum (bread wheat)
Lineage: Eukaryota; Viridiplantae; Streptophyta; Magnoliopsida; Poales; Poaceae
Description: partial small subunit ribosomal RNA
Source: RNAcentral